RNAcentral lists this unclassified non-coding RNA (415 nucleotides) under fungal sp. RNAcentral's name for it is "partial internal transcribed spacer region". The stretch from base 1 to 46 matches the Rfam family "Eukaryotic small subunit ribosomal RNA", at positions 1786 to 1831 of the family's 1831-position model. Lineage: Eukaryota; Fungi. The record is from RNAcentral.
AAGUCGUAACAAGGUUUCCGUAGGUGAACCUGCGGAAGGAUCAUUAACACGUAUCCAACGUUAAAAACACCCCUGUGAACCCGAUAACCUUGCUCCUCGCGCCCUGCACGCCUAGCAAUCCCUGGUAAAUCAUUGUCUGACCGUGACGCGAAGAAUGUCUUAAAUGGCAUCUGCGCGGGAUGUUGCGAUUGCGUGUAGUGACACUUGUGCUCCCCAAGCAACCAUGUUUCUUAAAGCGGUCAUGGAAGCGUAAGGAGCAACGCUGUAACGUUUGCUGUAGGCCCACACGGCCGGCAACAAGUGCCCGGACUCAUAUUUAUAUGGGGCCCCGUAUAUAAAGACGUCGUACUUAGCGAGGACUAAAAGCCUCGCACCAAAAACCGAACAACUGUUAACAAUGGAUAUCUUGGUUCUC